GAUGAACGCUGGCGGCGUGCUUAACACAUGCAAGUCGAACGGAAAGGCCAGUGCUUGCACUGGUACUCGAGUGGCGAACGGGUGAGUAACACGUGGGUGAUCUGCCCUGCACUUCGGGAUAAGCCUGGGAAACUGGGCCUAAUACCGGAUAGGACAAUGGCUUCGAUGCCGUUGUGGAAAGUUUUUUCGGUGUGGGAUGAGCUCGCGGCCUAUCAGCUUGUUGGUGGGGUAAUGGCCUAGCAAGGCGUCUACGGGGAGCCGGCCUGAGAGGGUGUACGGCCACACUAGGACUGGGAUGCGGCCCAGACUCCUACAGGAGGGAGCAGUGGGGAAUGUUGCACAAUGGGCGAAAGCCUGAUGCGGCGACGCCGCGUGGGGGAUGACGGCCUUCGGGUUGUAAACUCCGUUCGCUGGGGACGAAGCGUAUUUGUGACGGUACCUGGAGAAGAAGCACCGGCUAACUACGUG
Molecule: ribosomal RNA, 468 nt
Filed under: uncultured bacterium
Lineage: Bacteria
Description: partial 16S ribosomal RNA
Rfam family: Bacterial small subunit ribosomal RNA
Source: RNAcentral